RNAcentral lists this ribosomal RNA (124 nucleotides) under Anas platyrhynchos (mallard). The record is from RNAcentral. Lineage: Eukaryota; Metazoa; Chordata; Aves; Anseriformes; Anatidae.
GCCUACGGCCAUAACCAACCCCUGGCAACGCCCGAUCUCGUCUGAUCUCGGAAGCUAAGCAGCAGGUCGGGCGCCGGGUAGUACUUGGAUGGAGACCUCCUGGGCAUACCGGGUGCUGUAGGCU